RNAcentral lists this signal recognition particle RNA (299 nucleotides) under Cebus imitator (Panamanian white-faced capuchin). RNAcentral describes it as "Metazoan signal recognition particle RNA (ENSCCAG00000013001.1)". It matches the Rfam family "Metazoan signal recognition particle RNA". From Rfam's summary of the family: The signal recognition particle (SRP) is a universally conserved ribonucleoprotein. It is involved in the co-translational targeting of proteins to membranes. The eukaryotic SRP consists of a 300-nucleotide 7S RNA and six proteins: SRPs 72, 68, 54, 19, 14, and 9. Lineage: Eukaryota; Metazoa; Chordata; Mammalia; Primates; Cebidae. The record is from RNAcentral.
GCUGGGCACAGUGGUGCAUGCCUGUAGUCCCAUCUACUAGGGAGGCUGAGGCUGGAGGAUUGCUUGAGCCCAGAAGUUUUGGACUGUAGUGCGCUAUUCCGAUCGAGUGUCCGCACUAAGUUCGCCAUCAAUAUGGUGACCUCCAGGGAGUGGGGGACCACCAGGUUGCCUAAGGAGGGGUGAACCGGCCCAGGUAGGAAACAGAGCAGGUCAAAACUCCAAUGCUGAUCAGUAGUGGGAUUGAGCCUGUGAAUAGCCACUGUACUCCAGCCUGGGCAACAUAGCGAGACCCUGUCUCU